Long non-coding RNA from Felis catus (domestic cat), 4757 nucleotides. RefSeq lists it as uncharacterized. The transcript is spliced from 2 exons. The record is from RefSeq and is a predicted model, not a curated record. NCBI's taxonomy places the organism in Eukaryota, Metazoa, Chordata, Mammalia, Carnivora, Felidae.
GGGGGGGGGGGGGAUACAGAAGUUGCUGCCCAUGUACCCGCGGGAGGAGACGAGCCACAGAGGGACGGAAGAGGGGCUGUGCCAUGCUAGGGGGUCAGGCAUGCAGGAGGCCCCAGCACCGGCCGUAUGGUUGCGUCACGUGCCACAGUGAACCCUCUCCCCUGGUGGGCACGCAGCUGCUUCUCAGCCUCCUCCACUGGUGUCCUCAUGAGUCCUCAGAAGUUUGGAGGACUGUUUUGCUCUCCCUCUGGAGGGUCCAGCAGCCCCCCGAAUGCCAUCUGUGUACCAAUGACCUGCAUUUUCAUCACAGGACCAGACUUCACUGCUGAACUCCCCCCCCCCCCCCAUUCCAAUGCUUAAGUGCUGACCCUGGGAACAGGGCUUUCAGAAAGGUCUCCAACCUAACUUUUCCUCAAGAGACCACAGGUUCCUGUCCCCCAACCUCCUGUCUUCAUCAGUGGGAGUCCUUACAACAAAGUACCACCAACUGAGUGGCUCAUAAACACCAGAUUUGUUCCUCAUGCUUCUGGAGGCUGGAGGUCAGAUCAGGGUGCCGGUGUGGACAGAUUCUGGGGAGACCACCCUCCCGGUUACAAUAUGGCCAACUUCUCACGGUGUGCUCCUGUGUUGGAAGGGGCUAGGGACUCUGUAGGGUCUCUUUUAUAACAACAUCAAUCCCAUCAUGAGGCCCCACCCUCGUGACCCAAUUACCUCCCAAAGCCCCGGCUUCGUGAUAUCAUCACUUUGGGCACUGGGAUUUCAGCAAAUAAAUUGUGGGGGACACCUUCAGUCCAUUGCUCCCCCUCUGCCCAGUCUCCCAGCACAGGUGACGGGAGCUCUGCCUAGCCAGCUAUUCAGGCAAAAAGCAUUGGCUUACCCCCCUUCUCCCUCUGUCACCCACACCAAGUCCAUGUGGCCUGUCUCCCAGGGCAGGCCGAGUGUCAUCACCCUGUGAUGAAUGACCUCUGAGACCAGGUCACACUCGCCCCCCCCCCCCCCCCCACCUUCUCAGUACUGAAACCAGACUGAUCCUGUUACAACAGAAGACAGGUCACAUCCUCCCUCUGCUCAGAACACUGCAGUGGCUCCCACCUCACUCCCAGUGAGAUCUGAAGUCAUUGCAACGGCUAAUGGUCAUUGGCUGAUUAAUAGCUAAUGGCUAAGGCCCUACGAGGUUGUUCCAGGCAGACCCCAAGGAGAUCUGUGUGUAGGAUGCUUCACAGGAACGUUGUUGGGGUCGAGCCCUUGGAAGGGAGGGGCUGAAGCAGGGUAGGGCAGAAGGAGAAGGGGAAGCCAAGCCACAGUGAAGCCCAGAGCUAACCCUCAGGCUCUCUGGAGCUCGGGUGGCCCUUGCGAGAUGUCCGGAGCAGGGCAAAGGGCCCCGUGUGUACACCACUGUGUUGAUUGGACAUGGGAAGCAGGGUACCUCUCAGAGGAGGUGUGACCCCCCCCCAGAAGCUGGGGCAGUGAGCCCUUCCUUCCCCAUAGUGGGUCUGAAUGUGCAUCAUGGUGUUGGUACAGGCUCUGGGGCGGUCUUUCCAGGGUCUCAGUAGUCCCCUCAUCCUGGGGGGGACUCAGAAGGAGGUGAGUGGAAAGGGCUGUCUUCUGCCGCUGCCGCUGGUCUCGGGGCCACGCAGAAGCCAUCGUCUCUCUCCGCUGGAAUCCGUCCCACGUUCACCUCACCCUCGGCCACCACCUCUGCUAGGCCCAGCAGAUGACUGUGUGAUGUGAGCCCUUCUGUGGCAGACCUGGGGCCUGGUCACCACACUCUUCCUGGGGCAGGAGUGCUGCACAUGCCCAUUUACCAUCAAAACUGGGCAAGAGGGGGCCUGCUCCCCACCCCCAUGUAGAGCAGCAGCCCUCCCUCGUCUCCGGGACCUUGUCCGUGGCCCUGCUGGGAGAAAGCCGGUGUCCAUGUGGCAUCUAGAGCCAGUAGGCCAACAGCACCCGGUUGGGUCACGUGAUGGAAGCUUUCCCACUUUAGGAAACGGAACCUCUGAACUCACAGAGCCCACGGUAGCAAGAUGGAGGCUGCGUACGCGUGGAAAGGCAGAACCGCCAGGCCUGCCCUUGGGCCCUGUAUCCUACCCCGUGUAGUCUACCCACGGCAACACAGCACUUCCUACCCUUCUUUGAUCUGGUGGCUACCUUCUGGGUCAUCACCUCCGCUCUGCUUGCUCAAGUGGGCAGCUUGGGGAGAGGUGUGUUACUGGUAGACCCGAGCCUGCAUACCCAAUGUGGAGUGUGAUGCACAUUAUGGGACCCUGUAUCGGGGUCAACACUCUGAGACCUCGGGAGGUGCCAGCUGAAGACUGAGAACAGGGAAGGAAACCACACCGGGAAUACGUUGAACCCUCUGAGCGAAGGGCCCAAAGAAAGUAACUGGCUUGCAGCUGUGCUCCCAGGAACCAUUCCCUUCCCGUGGAUCCUCAGGACACCCUUGAGCGAGGGGGUAUGUAGAGCAUUAGACCGCAGGACACCCUGGGUGGGUGUGGGUACAAGCCCCAGCUCUGUCCAGAUCUCUGCUCACACCGAGCUGACCCCUGGAGCACCGGGCUGGGAAAUCUUCCUUUUCCAUCAUCUGGUUCACAGGGGCUCUCCCCGCAGCCCUGGUGGGAGCAGAGGGACAGGCGUGCACAGCAGUGGUGGGUGACACAGGGGUGCAAACUGUCCGUUUGAUCUGGAACGUUCCACCUCCACCCUCUCACGCAUCCCUGCUGACUUGGCGGGGCUGAGACAGCCCUGCUCGUGGUAGGCAGGUCUGCCACCUGGUGGCCCGUGUCCGUCUUUAGAGAUCUGGGCAGGUCACUGUCCACACACCCCAGGCCUGAGGACCACUGGGUCUACAUCUGGCACAGCAGCUGACGACGCGGGGCUCCCGCCGGGCCAGUCUGCAGCACUCCACUGUCUCUGCCAAGGUCCUGGGUCCGGGGAUCAGACUGGUGAAUGAAAUGGGGCUCUGGUGGGCGCCAGCACCGCUGCACCCGUUAGGUUCGAGGGUGGCACUGAUUUCUGCUGCCCUUCGGGAUGAGACACUGUUCUUUAUUUCUCUCCCGGUGUGUGUGUGGGGGGGCAAUUGCAGACGUCUCCACCUGGCUGGCCCCACCACCACGGCUCUGACCCCGAGGGCCACUGAUCCAAUGUGAGGAUGAGCCAACCACCCUUUCUUUCUUUUCCGGUAACUCGUCUGAGGAGUGGAAACUGCCUCCGUCCUGGGGAGUUCCAGGGGCCCCCCUGAGAGUUUGAUUUGGGCCUGGAGCCCCUGAUUCUUUGGACCCGAUGUGCCCGACCUGAAAAAGAAGGCAGGAUGAGGCCUCGUUCUGGAUCUUAGGGGAAAAGCUUUCAGUCUUUCACCAUGGGGUGUAACGUCAGCUGUGAGUUGUCCAUAGACGUCCUUUAUCAGAUCACCCAUGUUCACAGAUGGCAAGAUUUCUUUUUUCUUAUGGCUGCGGAAUGUUCCAUCAUCUAUACACACCACAUCUUCCUUAUCCGUUCACCUACAGAUGGACACUUGGGCUACUUCCGUAACUUGGCUACUGUAAAUAAUGCUGCAAUGAACGUAGCGGUGCAUGUAUCUUUUUGAAUUAGUGUUUUCAUUUUCUUUGGGUUAGUACCCAGUGGGAUCCCAGGGGACUUGCUGGAUCACAUGCUAUUACUGUUUUAAUUUUUUGAGGAAUAUAAUAAUCGCUUUUUACUUCUUAAACUAUCAUUACAUUUCUGGGAGAAAUCCCAUUUGGUCUCAGUGUAUACUCUUUCUGAUAUGUUGCUGGAUUCAGAGUGCUAGAAAUUCAUUGAGUAUUUUCCAUCUAUAGUCAUAAGGGAUAUAUCAGUUAUAUCUUAGUGCAGAGCCUGCUUCAGAUCCCCUGUCUCCCUCUCUCUCUGCCUCUACCCCACUUGUGCUUUGUCUCUCUCUCUUGCUCUCUCAAAAGUGAAUAAAAACAUUUAAAAAUUAAAAAAAAAACUGAGCAGCUAAGACUUGUGCAUGUCAGUGUAAACACCAGCCAAAACACGUAAAAGCAACAAAAUGGGGGCUAAGAAGGACCAAAAAAAUGACAAAAAGAAUGACAGAUGAUAAACUGGCAGAAUGUUACUGCAUGAGGGCACAUGGAAGCCAAGUUCUAAAGGGGUCUUGACCCAAAUCAAAACUCUCAGUGGGCCCCCAGGCCAUCCCAACAGGCUGCUUCCACUCCUCAGGCCAGGAAAGGGAAUAGAAGUAAACGGUGAUUGGCUCAUCCUUGCACUGGAUCAGUGGCCUUCUGGGUAAGAGCCAUCGUGUGGUGGGGCCAGCCAGGUGGGGACGUGGGCCACCAGGUCACCUGGCGGCAGAGUUGCCCACGUGAGCAGGGUUGUACAAGACCUGCCAAGUCAGAGCUCUGAGUGGGCCCAGCACCAAUGCAUUAGAGGAUGGAGCGGAACAUUCCAGAUCAAACAGUUUACACUACCCCAUGUCAUCUACCCACCGAUGCCCGACACCCAUCCUUCUGCUCCCGCCCGGGAUCUAGGGGCAAGCACAAAGAUGUCAAUGUGUUGGCCCCUGAAUAUGAGUCUUCUAUGGUCUGAUGAAUGUCCUGUAGCGAAGUGUGUUGCAUUUAGCUCCUACCAACUUGUAAGAGCUGAUUGUUAAAUAUCAAGGGAUUUUUUUGUCCCAAUUGUGAAACACAGUUGUUGUUAAAAUUAAAUCAUGCGGGAAAAUUGUUAGGAACUCCAAAAUCUAUCGCCCCACUGAAUCAAUGAAUAAACUGCCAAAGUCAACUGAA